Schistosoma rodhaini is the source of this 45-nucleotide non-coding RNA. Lineage: Eukaryota; Metazoa; Platyhelminthes; Trematoda; Strigeidida; Schistosomatidae. The record is from Rfam.
AUCCAGUUAACGAGUCUGAAAUAAGACGAAAUGCGCGUCCUGGAU